This 643-nucleotide ribosomal RNA is filed under the name uncultured bacterium. RNAcentral describes it as "bacterial SSU rRNA". It matches the Rfam family "Bacterial small subunit ribosomal RNA", at positions 75 to 715 of the family's 1533-position model. The record is from RNAcentral.
CUUGCUCUCUGGGUGACGAGCGGCGGACGGAUGAGUAAUGUCUGGGAAACUGCCUGAUGGAGGGGGAUAACUACUGGAAACGGUAGCUAAUACCGCAUAACGUCUUCGGACCAAAGUGGGGGACCUUCGGGCCUCACGCCAUCAGAUGUGCCCAGAUGGGAUUAGCUAGUAGGUGGGGUAAUGGCUCACCUAGGCGACGAUCCCUAGCUGGUCUGAGAGGAUGACCAGCCACACUGGAACUGAGACACGGUCCAGACUCCUACGGGAGGCAGCAGUGGGGAAUAUUGCACAAUGGGCGCAAGCCUGAUGCAGCCAUGCCGCGUGUGUGAAGAAGGCCUUCGGGUUGUAAAGCACUUUCAGCGAGGAGGAAGGGUGGUGUGUUAAUAGCGCAUUACAUUGACGUUACUCGCAGAAGAAGCACCGGCUAACUCCGUGCCAGCAGCCGCGGUAAUACGGAGGGUGCAAGCGUUAAUCGGAAUUACUGGGCGUAAAGCGCACGCAGGCGGUUUGUUAAGUCAGAUGUGAAAUCCCCGCGCUUAACGUGGGAACUGCAUUUGAAACUGGCAAGCUAGAGUCUUGUAGAGGGGGGUAGAAUUCCAGGUGUAGCGGUGAAAUGCUUAGAGAUCUGGAGGAAUACCGGUGG